UACGUAGGGGGCAAGCGUUGUCCGGAUUUAUUGGGCGUAAAGCGCGUGUAGGUGGCCAAGUAGGUCCGCUGUGAAAACUUGAGGCUCAACCUCAAGCUGUCGGUGGAAACCCCUUGGCUAGAGUCCGGAAGAGGAGAGUGGAAUUCCUGGUGUAGCGGUUGAAAUGCGCAGAUAUCAGGAAGAACACCAAUGGCGAAGGCAGCUCUCUGGGACGGUACUGACACUGAGACGCGAAAGCGUGGGGAGCGAACAGG
Molecule: ribosomal RNA, 254 nt
Filed under: uncultured bacterium
Lineage: Bacteria
Description: partial 16S ribosomal RNA
Rfam family: Bacterial small subunit ribosomal RNA
Source: RNAcentral